RNAcentral lists this long non-coding RNA (4333 nucleotides) under Amborella trichopoda. RNAcentral's name for it is "long non-coding RNA (ATRI_LNC005175)". Lineage: Eukaryota; Viridiplantae; Streptophyta; Magnoliopsida; Amborellales; Amborellaceae. The record is from RNAcentral.
ACCUUCUAUAUUAUCCUGAUAGACAAUAUAUAUUUUCCUUUCACACUCCCCUCAAACUCCCCAAAUAUACAGAUUACAAUAUACGUCUUCCAUAUUAACAUGAUAGACAAUAUAUACUUUAAUUUCUCACUUCCCUCAAACUCUCAAGAUGCUAUGAGAUAAAGCAGUUGGAGUUUGAACACUAAUUGUGGAAACGAGCAGUUGACCGGUAGAAGUAGUCGUUGCAGUGCUCAAAUUGCCUGAUCAACGAGCAUAAAACUGAUCAACAAGCUUGAAAAACAGGUUGCUUAAAUAGAGCAUAUACCAAUAACAAUAACUAAGUAAGCCUCGGGAAUAGAUUCCUAUACUAUAACCAGCCUUACCAUAAAUACAAGAUAUUGUAUCUACCCUUCUCAAAUAUACAUAUUACAAUAUACAUCUUCCAUAUUAACCUGAUAGACAAUAUAUAUUUUACUUUUUAGAGUUUCUAUUUUUAAUUUCUAUCUUUGAUAACUUCUUAUCUCCACAAUUCAUAAAUAUUAGGAUGUUGCACAAUCCCACAAAUAUUGGAUGUUGUGCUGGUAACUUAUACAAGACAGUGUAAAGCAAUAGAAGCAUAUCAAUUCUUCUCUUUUAAAUAUUGCUUAUCAAAACUUUAACCCUAGUAAACAAAAGCAUGUCAUAGAAGCUCCCAACAUGCAAAAAAGUUCAAAAGAUUAUUUCAUUGGUGGCACAAGUCUUUCUUUGGAAAAAGGUCCGGCAGAUAGCUGUAAGAGAGGCGGCUAGCUAGGAAUCGGGCUUGGGUCUGGCUAGCAAGGAAUUGGGCUGGGGUCAAGGUGGUAGCAGUAGGGUUUUUGUAGUUCUACAUCUCAAUUUUUAUUCUUAUUUAAUUUUUUCAAAAAAUAAAUAAAAUAGAGGGUUAGUUAAAGGUCAGAAAAAAAAAAAAGAACAAAGAAAACAAACCCAAAAAAAAAGAAAAAAAAAAAAAAGAAUAUGGAGAGUAUGUGAGAGUUAAAAUAGAGGAAAGAUAAAUUUGUUUUUUUCGAUUGAGAGAGAAUGCAAGAGAGAGCUUGGAAAACAUAAUGCUCGAGAGAGACGUGCACUUUUUCUAUAAUUCUAUUCAUUUUUACUUUAUCUUGACAAGUUUUAAUAUAUAUCGGUAACGAAUUUAAUAAUAUCUUGGAAAUUUAAUUUAGCAUACUUUUCGAGGCUCCAAUAUUAUUAUGAUAAAAGCCUUUUUAAUAAUAUGAUAAUUGAAUGUAAAGUAAAAAAUCUUUAUUUGAAUAUGAGAAUAAACAUUGUCAUGGAAAAGUUUAUGUAGAGUUGAGGCUCUAAACAAUCAAAUUAGAGCCUACCUCAAAAAUUUCACUAUAAGUGAUUGUUGUGAUGCUCAAAUAUCCUCUAAUUGAUCGACAUCAAGAUGCAUGAGAUAAGAAAAAAAAUGGAUUUCAAGUUUUGGAAUAGUGUAUUUUGUAAUGCAUUUAUAGACCGUCAAUUUUCAAGAUUUUAAAGUUUUCAUAGAUAUGUCGAUUUACACUAUUUUUUAUGCUUUAAACUUUAUAAAUAAAUAUAAAAUAUACUUUAAGGCUAUCACAAAGAUUUUCAGUGUUGAACCACAGUUCUCGACACUAUUUGAAGGUAAGCUUUAUGCAAACCGCACCAUUACUUAAAAAUUGCAAAAUGCCAAUAUCACAUACUAUAUUUAUUCGUUGAACUGACGCAACCCGAAUGAUAAUUCGGGAUUAUAGAUGAGACAGCUCACAUGAAUUCAUGAAAUGACAUAUCAGAAAUUUGCAAAGAUUUAAACAAGGGGGCAGUUUGCAAGGAAUUGAUAAUGAAUAUGUGAAUUAAAGCUAUUUAGUUGGAUAGUACAAUGCUUUUACAUUUUGACUUUGAUUUCACAGUUGGACUUUGAUACACUAUACAUUUUUAUCAACUUUAUCAUUUAUAAAGUUUUUAACACAUCUAUUUCAAAUUGUGUAUUAUAAAUUGGAAAAAGUUUAUAUAAGUGCGAGGCUCUAAACAAUUAAAUUAGGGCGCGCCUGAAAAUUGUCAUUAGGAGAGGUUGUUUUGAUGCUCAAGUAUCCUCAAAUUGACCAUCUCGACCUCAGAAUGCAUGGACACGAGAAAAAAUGGAUUUCAAGUUUUGGAAAUAGUACAUCUUGUAAUUCAUUUUUGGACCGUCAAUUUUCAAGACAUUCGAUUUACACUAAUUUUGAAGCUUUAACUUUUAUAAUUAGGGAUGAAAAUAUAUUUUAAGGCUAUCACAAAGAUUUCCAGUAUUGAAACCAUAUUUCUUGAUACUAUUUGAAGGUGCAAUUUAUUUUGAUUGUUUAUAGCCUAGGCUCUAUACAAAUCGCACCCUAAUAAAUUAAUGUUUAUUAAUGUCAAUAUAGAAUUAUUUCAGAAUAAAUAUUUUAAUUUAAUAUUCUAAUGUUUAUUAAUGUCAAUAUAGAAUUAUUUCAGAAUAAAUAUUUUAAUUUAAUAUUCUAAGGCUUAGGGUUGGCAAUGGCUAGGGACCUGGGGGCUGUCUUGGCUUAGCCCAGGCUUAGCCUUCGGGCAACAUUUUGUGACUCAUGCCCUAGUUUUUUAAGCUAGGCCAAUUAGGUUGGGUUGGGCCACCCCAAACCAUUGCCACACCUCUAAGGGCCCAACAAUUACCAAAUAAAUUUGUGAUGAAAUAGUGAAACAUAAUAUUGUCCCCAACAGCAUCCCAAUGACAAUAAUUGUCAAUAAGGGAGAUCUAUGUAACAUGACUAGACCAGACUCAAUUGGCAUGUCUAAUUAUUGAUCGGUGGCUUGAUUUGUCUGGUCUAAAGUAAAAAUUGAUCUAAUUGGCUUUAACCAAUCAAUGGUCGAUUUUGACCGGUUAAUUAGAAUCGAGUAAAUAUUUUCAAGGAAAAUAUAUAAUGAGACUAUUUGCAUUUGAUACAAAAUGGUCACAUUAAUUUGAACCAUUGGAUCAAAUUGGGUUGCUCCAAUUAUUCCAUUGAUCAAAUUCAAACUUUAAAGAAAUUUUUUUAAUCUUUGUGACAUAUCCAAGCCAUCAAAUUUUACAUCGGAUGAUUGUAAAUAAUUGUAACCACCAUGUAGUAUGGUUGUAUACAAUUCCGUAUUUUGUUAGGAUAUGAAGCAUCUUGAGUUUGAGGGGGAGUGUUAAAAUACUGAUAUACAUCAGUAUAUAGUAUAUCUCAUGAUAAGAUUAGGAUAUGUAUUCAUAAUAUUAGGUAUAGAUAAGAAGAGACUCACUCAUCAAAUUAUAAGGGGAGUGUGCUACAAUAUGGAUAUAGGUUGUUACUAUUACAUAUCGGUUGAUAAGAUUAGGUGAUGUCUAUCCAUAACCAUUGGUAUAUAUUUUUAAUUGUUAUUACCCAUAUAUUUAUUCAUAGUCUUGUAUAUUUUUAAUUAAUCAAUAAAUAAAGAGUUCUCUACAGUAUUAUGAAAUAAUAUUUUAUGAACCUAAAACCCAAAUAUAUAGAAAUGCAGUUUUUAACAUAUUUUAAUAUAAUUUAUACUUUUAAAUUAUUAUUAAUAUCUUUAUUCGUUUUAGUAGACCACCCCUCAUUGGUUUGGAAGCCAGUUCCAUCCUAAUAACACUAAAACAAAUAUAUGUAAUUUUGUACACACUUGAGACACCACACCAUUGUCUUGUAUUUUAUAAAGUUUAAACACUUUUUUUUCUAACAUCCACUUGGGACUUCAAAAAGGAAUAGAACUUUGCACACUUUUUAACCCUUUUUCUUCAUAAAAUUUCAUAUUAAAUAAAUGGCAGCUAAAAUCUUUUCUUUCUGAAUGAUGGCUAAAAUCUUCUUUAAAAGGCAAUAGAAGGAAGGGAAAGGUUUCUAUAGAAUGGAACUCAGAGAAGUAGGGAGGAAGAGAUUUUCGUAUGGAAAUAUAGAGAGAGAUCUUUCUGCGUUGAGAGAGCGUAAGAUGAGAGUGAGAUAAAGAGACCCGACUCAAUUCGGUCCAAGAUGGACUAAAUCCGGACUGGACCCACAUCAGACAAAUAGUGUCCAGAGCUGGACCCAAGUUGGGUUGGCCUAUCGGGACAGCAGGUCGACCCAAAUUUUAUCGGGCAUUCUGGUGCCCAUAGAAUAGGCCCAAGCCCAGUCCAGCUUAAAAAAAUAAAAAUAAAUAAAUAAAUAAAAGAGUUGGGCCAUAUCGGACAAGACCACACUGGUACCGGUCCCCCAGCUUAAAAAAAAAAUAAAUAAAUAAAAUAAUAAUAAUAACAAUAAUGAGAAUGGUCAGACCAUACUAAAACCUGAACAUCGGGCGAGUUUGUCAGUCGAGCAAGACCGAACCAGACCACACUGGAACCCAGCCAUCGGGCGGUAUGUUGCCCAAGCCCUAC